Misgurnus anguillicaudatus (oriental weatherfish) is the source of this 872-nucleotide non-coding RNA. NCBI's taxonomy places the organism in Eukaryota, Metazoa, Chordata, Actinopteri, Cypriniformes, Cobitidae. The record is from RefSeq and is a predicted model, not a curated record.
ACAUCAAGUGUUCAACCACCUUCCAUCACUAAGGCACAAAAACAAUCUUCACAUUUGACUCUGUCUUUGUCUCUGGCCGCUGCUGUCGGCCUGUUGACUCUCUGCUUGAUCUUUACUGUCUGCAGGAUGAGGAACUCCUGUAAAAAAUCAGAUCGAGUGGUCAUUCACCAGACCCCUCACAGUGAUGGAGAGGAGCAUGAAAAUAAUGAGUCGGAGGAGCUGAACUCAAACUCUUCACGAGGAUCUCUACAAUGGUAUCAAGUUCCUGUUUACUGGUCUUACUUUGAUGUACAGAGAGAUAAAGAAGAAGCUGACCAAGCACAAGCAGAAUAAAGACCAUUUUAGUCAUUGGUUUGUACCAUAUCUUUCUCUCUCUCUGUCAGUUGUGAGAGUAUUUUUGUAAACAUUAGAGUCAGAUUUGAAAGAUAAAGUGGAAAUCUUUUGAUUUUAAUCUCACCGCUCACGUGUGCUGUCCGCAUGUGGUGCAAUGUUAGAUUUUUGUUCUUGUAAUUUUUUGUUUCUUUCAUUACAAGCCUGUUAUCAACGUAAUCACAAUGUUAUCAUGUAUCACAUAUUUUGUGGUGUUUGGUUUUAUUUAUUGGGCUAUGGUUAGACAUCUAUUCAAUCUUAGCCUAGACAUCUGGGCUGGACACCAGAUGUCUUUUAAACGCAAUUUGCUUGCUUGGAAAUUAAUUCAAUUGUAUUUCAAACAAUACACGCUGCCCAGGUCUUCAGAUGUUUAUUUAAGUUUUAUUCUGUAAAUACAACACACACCAGCUAUGUAUAUAUUUUUUAUAUAUUUUUUUACUUGUCUGUGAGAUUCACUUUCAUUUUGAGGUCGCUGUUGACAUUUACAAUAAAAGUCUGUGAAA